GAUGAAGAACGUAGUGAAAUGCGAUACGUAAUGUGAAUUGCAGAAUUCAGUGAAUCAUCGAGUCUUUGAACGCACAUUGCGCCCCCUGGUAUUCCGGGGGGCAUGCCUGUCCGAGCGUCAUUGCUGCCCUCAAGCACGGCUUGUGUGUUGGGCCUCCGUCCUCCUCCCGGGGGACGGGCACGAAAGGCAGCGGCGGCACCGCGUCCGGUCCUCGAGCGUAUGGGGCUUCGUCACCCGCUCUUGUAGGCCCGGCCGGCGCUUGCCGACACAUCAAUCUUUUUUCCAGGUUGACCUCGGAUCAGGUAGGGAUACCCGCUGAACUUAAGCAUAUCAAUAAGCGGAGGA
This 345-nucleotide unclassified non-coding RNA is filed under the name soil metagenome. RNAcentral describes it as "partial contains 5.8S ribosomal RNA, internal transcribed spacer 2, and large subunit ribosomal RNA". The stretch from base 1 to 120 matches the Rfam family "5.8S ribosomal RNA", at positions 35 to 154 of the family's 154-position model. The record is from RNAcentral.